UACGUAGGGUGCAAGCGUUAAUCGGAAUUACUGGGCGUAAAGCGUGCGCAGGCGGUUCGUUGUGUCGGCGGUGAAAGCCCCGGGCUUAACCUGGGAAUGGCCGUCGAAACUGGCGAACUGGAGUGUGGCAGAGGGGGGUGGAAUUCCGCGUGUAGCAGUGAAAUGCGUAGAUAUGCGGAGGAACACCGAUGGCGAAGGCAAUCCCCUGGACCUGUACUGACGCUGAGGAGCGAAAGCGUGGGGAGCGAACAGG
RNAcentral lists this ribosomal RNA (253 nucleotides) under uncultured bacterium. RNAcentral's name for it is "partial 16S ribosomal RNA". It matches the Rfam family "Bacterial small subunit ribosomal RNA", at positions 524 to 776 of the family's 1533-position model. The record is from RNAcentral.